CUUAAACCGUUGAAAAGGCUAGUAAUAAGAUUAUUGUUUUAAGAGAGUCAGUGGAUUUGGUGUGAACUGAUAACAAUGUUUUAUGAAUCCACCUUGGAGGGACUGUGAUGAGCAGUACGUGCUAAAUACGUUAGUUUUAUAAAGAGUGGAUAAUAAAGAGUAUUUAUUAUCAAUUAGGGUGGCAACACGGAGUUCUUCGUCCCUUUU
RNAcentral lists this non-coding RNA (207 nucleotides) under Clostridium celatum. RNAcentral's name for it is "T-box sequence". It matches the Rfam family "T-box leader". From Rfam's summary of the family: Uncharged tRNA acts as the effector for transcription antitermination of genes in the T-box leader family. T-boxes are found upstream of many aminoacyl-tRNA synthetase genes and some amino acid biosynthetic genes usually in Gram-positive bacteria. The anticodon of a specific tRNA base pairs to a specifier sequence within the T-box motif, and the NCCA acceptor tail of the tRNA base pairs to a conserved bulge in the T-box antiterminator hairpin. Lineage: Bacteria; Bacillati; Bacillota; Clostridia; Eubacteriales; Clostridiaceae. The record is from RNAcentral.